CAGUCGCCGCGGGAAUACGAAGGGUGCAAGCGUUAAUCGGAAUUACUGGGCGUAAAGCGCGCGUAGGUGGUUUGGUAAGAUGGAUGUGAAAUCCCCGGGCUCAACCUGGGAACUGCAUCCAUAACUGCCUGACUAGAGUACGGUAGAGGGUGGUGGAAUUUCCUGUGUAGCGGUGAAAUGCGUAGAUAUAGGAAGGAACACCAGUGGCGAAGGCGACCACCUGGACUGAUACUGACACUGAGGUGCGAAAGCGUGGGGAGCAAACAGGAUUAGAUACCCCGGUAGUCCCUGUCUCUUAUAC
This 301-nucleotide ribosomal RNA is filed under the name uncultured bacterium. RNAcentral describes it as "partial 16S ribosomal RNA". It matches the Rfam family "Bacterial small subunit ribosomal RNA", at positions 509 to 807 of the family's 1533-position model. The record is from RNAcentral.